Mauremys reevesii (Reeves's turtle) is the source of this 633-nucleotide long non-coding RNA. RefSeq lists it as uncharacterized. Lineage: Eukaryota; Metazoa; Chordata; Testudines; Geoemydidae. The transcript is spliced from 2 exons. The record is from RefSeq and is a predicted model, not a curated record.
CUUAGUGAUGUUGGAGAGGGAUUGCCCGAGGGAGGAGAAAGACGAAAACAGAGGCUGCAGGGGGGUGGAGAAAGGGGUGAAACGGGACAGGGAAGAGGAGGACGACAGAAACAGAAGGGACAGAGCAGAGGACGGAGAGGACGACUAGAAGGAUUUCCCAGUGGUGGGAACGAGCAAGUCAAUUUCUAACCCUCACGGCUGCGGAGAAAACCUUGAAAAUGUGACUAGUGCGUAACCCCGAAGGCUGAAGACCCAAAAGGCAAACGAACGGCACGUCCACAGCAUUGUUAUUUGAAGCCAAUCUCAAUAUUUUGGGGAGCUGGACUCAUGAGGUUUGAACGUUCGGGGUUGGCCAUCCCGUGGAUUUCGAGCGCUACUGAGUCUUCUUGCCAAUUUUUAGGAUUUUCCAGCCACGAUUUCCUAGGUGGAUCAGUAUUUCCCUGUGUUGCCGCGCGAAAAGUCCCCGCAAAGUGAAAUUAAAUACACAGCAGGUGAGGAAAUAGCAGCUGUACAAAUCCACAGAGCUGCGUCCCAGACGGCAGGACUCAUGUGAGACCGGCCUCUCUCUUCCUGCUGUGCAGAACGGGAGAGCUCGCUUUCCUUCAAUUAAGGCAUUAAAAUCCACCUCCCUAA